This is a long non-coding RNA of Xiphophorus couchianus (Monterrey platyfish), 1067 nucleotides long. RefSeq lists it as uncharacterized. The transcript has 2 exons. The record is from RefSeq and is a predicted model, not a curated record. Lineage: Eukaryota; Metazoa; Chordata; Actinopteri; Cyprinodontiformes; Poeciliidae.
AGUUCUCCUCCAGGGAAGGCAUCGCCGAGAAAUAACCAGUGUCAUGGACGAGUUGGAGUUCCUGGAAAAUACUGUAAUUCGCCAAAACAUCCAUGGUUGACGAGGAGGGGAAAGGGGGAAAGAGUGGAGAAAACAAACCACAAAAAGCUGGAGGAAAAGCGCGAGCUGGUGCAGACGAGCGCACCUGAGCACUUUAAUUUAAAAAAAAAAAAUCGAGAAACGGCAACGUGGGUAGAAAGUGUGUGUUAUUUGAUCUUUGUCAGCGCAAUCCCCGCUCUCUCUCUCUCUCUCUACUCCUCCAGCUCGCUCUGUCACGCCUUCUCUCCUCAAUCCGGGGGUGCCAGAUCUAUUUCCGCAUUGCCAGAUUGCCGAUCGGGCUCCGUCCGAAGCUGCCAGGUUGCCAGGUUUGCUCCUCCAGCAGCAGACUGUACCCCGGCGCGGAGAGGCGGACGGGAGUUCAGGAGGAGGAGGAGGGGGGGUGGGAGGCGAGAGGCGGAGCCACCUUGUCACUCAAUUUCAUGCGUGACCUUAUAAGGCAAAUAGGGUUGAUGAUGUCACUCUUGUCCAAUUAAGGAGGCGCUGAGACAGAGGGAGCGGGCGGGGCUUUGAGGGACGCAGCCGCGCCAUUGGCUGCGUGGGGACGUCGGUCUCGCUGUAGAUGGCAGCGAGGGGGUGAGUUAUUUUUAGAGGCCUAUAUAAAAGCAGCAGCAUUCCUCUCUCAGUCAUAACAGGCUGCACGGGCAGAGAGGUGAGAAGCGGGAAGUCGGCGGCUGCGGCGCGCGCGACGAAAGUGUGAAUUUGCGGAAAGUUGCAGGUGAGAGUCAGAAGAAGAAGAAGAAGCAGCGGUGAUAAAAGAGAGAGAGAGAAAAAAGGUGCCGGGUUGUUGUUUUGGAAGGCGCGAGCGCCUCAGCUCAGAUCCCUCGUGUGGUUUUUCCUGUGGUUACGUCCUGCGUGGAGAGCAGCGACUCCGUGGGAGGAAAAGCUCGGCUCAGCCCGCCCUCCUGCUCAGUUGACAAGAGGUUUUUAUUUUUGUUGUUGAGAGUGAAAAUAAAAAUGCAACAAAAGCA